AUGUCGGUGGCUCAGGUGUUAAGCACUUGACUUGCAAUCUACAGGUCGUGGGUUCGAAUCCCGCCUUGUACC
Molecule: transfer RNA, 72 nt
Filed under: Papilio xuthus (Asian swallowtail)
Lineage: Eukaryota; Metazoa; Arthropoda; Insecta; Lepidoptera; Papilionidae
Rfam family: tRNA
About the family: Transfer RNA (tRNA) molecules are approximately 80 nucleotides in length. Their secondary structure includes four short double-helical elements and three loops (D, anti-codon, and T loops). Further hydrogen bonds mediate the characteristic L-shaped molecular structure. tRNAs have two regions of fundamental functional importance: the anti-codon, which is responsible for specific mRNA codon recognition, and the 3' end, to which the tRNAs corresponding amino acid is attached (by aminoacyl-tRNA synthetases). tRNAs cope with the degeneracy of the genetic code in two manners: having more than one tRNA (with a specific anti-codon) for a particular amino acid; and 'wobble' base-pairing, i.e. permitting non-standard base-pairing at the 3rd anti-codon position.
Source: Rfam by way of RNAcentral